Molecule: ribosomal RNA, 444 nt
Filed under: uncultured bacterium
Lineage: Bacteria
Description: partial 16S ribosomal RNA
Rfam family: Bacterial small subunit ribosomal RNA
Source: RNAcentral
CCUACGGGAGGCAGCAGUGGGGAAUCUUCCGCAAUGGGCGAAAGCCUGACGGAGCAACGCCGCGUGAUCGAAUGAAGGCCUUCGGGUUGUAAACUUCUUUUAUCAGGGACGAAGCAAGUGACGGUACCUGAUGAAUAAGCCACGGCUAACUACGUGCCAGCAGCCGCGGUAAUACGUAGGUGGCAAGCGUUAUCCGGAUUUACUGGGUGUAAAGGGCGUGUAGGCGGGAGUGCAAGUCAGAUGUGAAAACUAUGGGCUCAACCCAUAGCCUGCAUUUGAAACUGUACUUCUUGAGUGCUGGAGAGGCAAUCGGAAUUCCGGGUGUAGCGGUGAAAUGCGUAGAUAUACGGAGGAACACCAGUGGCGAAGGCGGAUUGCUGGACAGUAACUGACUCUGAGGCGCGAAAGCGUGGGGAGCAAACAGGAUUAGAUACCCCAGUAGUC